CACUUUUGAGAUUACAUUAUAGAAGAGUGAAUUCCAUCUUGAGCCCUCUUGCUCACCUGCUCUUUCUCUCAUAUCACUCGCUUUGGGAGAAACCCUAUCAUGAACAAUCCUAAGGAGAGACCAACAUGGCAAAGAAGAAAAGCCUCCUGCCAACAAUCGUACGAGUGAACUUGGAAGUUGAUUAUGCCACCACAGUUGAACAUUGAGAUGAGUGCAGCCUCAGGCAAUGGACGUGACUGCAACCUUGGGACAGACCUUGAACCAAACCACCCAGGUACUAUGUUUAUUCGGAAUUGGUGGUUUCUGACAACCCUACAUGAGGAAUUCUGUUGACACCAUGUUUCCAACAGGAUGUGAUCACUUUGUAUCUUUGUCACAUUUUGGGACAGUGUUUUGUCAUAUUUUCCAGACUGGUCUUGGACCCCUGAGCUCAAGCCAUCUGCCCACCUUGGCUCCCCAAAAUACUGGUAUUCCAGGUGUGAGCCACUGGCCCAGCCCAGGUUUGUUAUGUGUUGCUUGCUUAAAUUAGAAGUUUCCAAAAACCUAUAAUGUUUAGUAAGAACUUAUUGUGCCUUAAAU
This 579-nucleotide long non-coding RNA is filed under the name Homo sapiens (human). RNAcentral describes it as "HSALNT0085490". The record is from RNAcentral. Lineage: Eukaryota; Metazoa; Chordata; Mammalia; Primates; Hominidae.